RNAcentral lists this long non-coding RNA (4193 nucleotides) under Mytilus galloprovincialis (Mediterranean mussel). The record is from RNAcentral. Lineage: Eukaryota; Metazoa; Mollusca; Bivalvia; Mytilida; Mytilidae.
AGAUAAUGAUUGUGAUACAAAUGUAAGAAAUAGAGGCAUCUCAAAGGCAAAGAUCAGGACCAUCAAACUUCUUUGUGUUGUUGUAUUUGGUAUGAAUUAUUUUUUUUCAUCCUUUUUUUGAAUUAUGUAUACACGACGGUGGCAACUCAUAAAUCUAAAAAUCAAUCAUUUUAAUUUGCAAUAUGUAUUUUUUAUCAUUUAUGAGUUGCCACCAAUACUGGUGUCGCCUAGGCAUUAGUUAGAAAUUAUAUUUAUUUGUUUUUAAGGAAGCUCGAGGGUAUAAGAAUUUCAGAAAAAAAAUCAAACAUUUGUUUUUCAUUACAAAUUUUAUUUAUUUCCUUUUGUAGUUGUUACUUUAUCAUAUGGUACAACAAUCAUUCAAAACAAUCAAUUCGUGUUGGCCCCAGUUGACUUUCAAAAUGUAUACAUCAUUGAAAAAGUUCCAAAUUAUCUCCCUUUGGUGGAAAAUGCCAUUUGUUGGCUCUAAAAUUGAAAUAUCUUUUUCAACUCAUCGGUGACCUAUCUUUUUUGAUAUAAUUUCCAUAUAAGCUGUACUUAAACUAAAUUAUUGUAAAAUUGUAGCGAUUUCUGUAAUAAAUUUCUUUUUUUUAUUUCGAUAUUACCUUUAUUUCUCCUAUUACUUCAACAGAAAAAAACCGCCUUUACAAAAAUGUAUGCUUCUUUCGAAGGCAGAUUGUGAGCGCAAAUGAACGGUGACCCCACUUUUUUAUUUUAUUUUUCUAUUAACUAUAAGAUAAAGUUCAUUUAUAGAAAAAUAUAGAGAAAUCCUAUAUAAAUGAUUUAGACCUGCGAACCCCCUUAAAUGAAAAACUGUUUAUGGAAAUUUCCAUUUUGAGGGGGAGUUAUCUGAAGUACAAAUACUAUAAUUACACUUGUAAACAUGCAUGGUUCACCGGUGUCAACGUGAUGAUCGUAACUGCAAUUACGAUCAUCCCAAUAUGGCGGACGCAAAUUCAGGUAUAUUUUAUAUUGCCAAUUUCUCUCCUUUAACAACUUACUUUCAGAUUUUUAUCAUGUCAAGAAACAUCUAUAUAAGCAUGCUCAUUGAAUAUUCUUCUGUGAAAUGAUGGAAAAUCAACUAGAGAAACGGAAAUCGUGAUACAAAAAAAACCGAUGAUGAUCGUAACUUCUUUUUAUUUUUAUCAACGAUGAUCGUAACUGUCUGUUCCAGCGAGGCAUUUUUUUUAUAAAAACAGUUGUCUGGUAUACGAAAAUGGUACCUAAUCAGCUAUAAUCAGCUGGAAAACUGUGAAAAUAAUAAGGGACGAUCACUGCAGGGGAAGGUAACAUUCUAUUGAUUGUUAUACGGGUAAGUGUACAGAUAAUGGUUCAAAUUUUGUGAGAUUUAGUAAUUUUUAAAUCUAAUUCUAUAUUGAAAGGCCUGGUACAUGUAAUUAACAACUUUGUAUUGUUAUCAUGUAUCUUACAUGUAUAUGGUUUGGUAAAAUUUGAGGUUUUUGUCUGUUGGACAAAUUAUAAAUGUCAUUUUUACUGUGGUGGUGUUUAAACACAAUAUUAUAUAAAUGUGAUACUGUUUUAUUACAUUAUUUUUUUAAAGUAUUGAUACUUAAUUGCAGUGAAUGCUAUAAAACAAAUUGGUGCAUCCCCACACAAAAAAAGCCUGUUCUCUCUUUUUUUUCUGCAACACACACAUACCCUUUGUAGGGUCAGUAGAACCGUAAAGCUUCAAGUUCCUGCUAAAUUUGGGGAAUUCGGAAUUUAUAGUUUUCAUUAACAGAUACAGUAGUUUUCAAGGGAAAAUAUAGCAUUAAGAAGCGUAAUCAUAUGUGUUGAAUAGAAAUAUAUAUAAUUUUAAAUUAAAAAUAAAAUAUUUAUUGAGAUUUUGUGGCCAAAAAACUUCUUCGACUUACUUUAAUAAUAGGUGUCAGAUAUUCAUAAAUGAUAAGAUUUAUCUUGUGUGUACUGUGUGAACCUGAAACUUUUAUUGGAUCAUCCUUGUUUUUCUUUCUUGUUUUUGUCUUUAUCACAGAGUAAAAGUAGAAAAAUAAAGAAUUAUAUCCAAUAUAUCGUGACCGCUAAAUAUAAUGAUUUAUUUACGAAGAAACGGAUUGUGAAUUUUGAUUUACGAUCAUCUUUAUAUUACAACAAGUCCAAGUUACGAUCAUCACUAGACGCAGUUACGAUCAUCAUCGUGUUUUUUUGUAUCAAGAUUUUCGUUCUACUCUUUGCUUUUCCGUCAUUUAGGAAAAAACAUCCAAUUGUAAUGCUUAUAAAGAAUUUGAUUGACACAAUAAGUAUCCGAAAGUAAGUUGUUAAAGUGGAGAAAUUGGCAAUAUAAAAUUUACCUGAAUUUUCGUCCGCCAUAUUGGGAUGAUCGUAACUGCAGUUUCGAUCAUCACGUUGACGCCAGUGAUGCUUUAGGUUUGUUAUUGUCUGUUUCAGAAAAUAACGACAUACAAUGUACAAUGUUGUGUUGUGGGAUCAUUCGUUAAGCAUACUGUUUGUUUUCUACAAUACUGAUAUCCUUGAAAAUGUGUUAUUAUUUAAAUAAACUGUAUAAUGACUGAUCCCGUAUAUCAUUCCUCUUUCACCUUCUAGGAUCAAAACAAAAAACCAAGAACAUUACAAAUGUCUGCUCUUUUCCAUUUAAGGCCAUGUGCUGUAUAUAUACUUUUUUAGAAAUGCAACCAAAAAUCAGUAUUUCACAAAAUAUAUACAUAAACAAAUAUGUAUAUCAAAUAGAAAGAAUAUAACUAUUUUUUUUUCUAUUUUGCCAGAACAAGUGUCUAUUGAAAUUACAAUAAAUACAAUGAAACAAAAGACGAUUUCAAACUUUAAGCUUGAGAAAAAUACCUGUGUAUACCUUGGUCCUCAAUGUUAAUAACAAAAAACUAUAUUCUAAACGAGUUUCUGCUACAACAUGAAUAGCAAAAUGUCGACUACACGGAGAAAAAAACAAAGCAUUUAUGAAUCGAAAAAAUAGAUGCGAUAAAUCAAAAGACUAAAGAUAAACAAAACAUGUAUACCUUUAUUGUGUAUACACAAGGCGACAUUACAUAAUAUACGACCUUGAACAAUGCAUACAUAUAUAACUAGCUUUAAAUCAUUAGUCUAACAAACAAUUCCAUUAAACCGUAUAAUGAAAUAACAUGAGCUAACAAACUGGUGCAAAACAUUUAUCCUCCUGCGAGCUAUACUGUAUUUAUAUCUAUUUCUAAUACAAAAACUGCAUUUAUAAGUAUCAUGAUUCUGAUACAUAUGUAUAUAUUCAUGAAGAAGUCUACUUAAUAUGACUUCAAUUAAUAAUAAUAUCAUUUCACAAAUAUUUUUACAGCAUACAUUAUUUGCUGGGCUCCAAUUACAAUCGCAGCAGUCAUAACACACCAUAGAAUAGCAGAAAAUGGAUUUUGGUUUCAAAUACUCUUUUUACUUGCUCCGGUUAACAGCCUGGCUAAUCCUUUAGUGUUUCUUAUUUUCAACCAGAAAAUGUUCCGGUCUAAGACGAAUAAGACGAAGAAAAAAAUAUUUUGUGGAAUAACUUUUAAAACCGAAACAAAAACAUUAUCAUUGACUAGCUAAAUUUAUUUUGUAUGCAUUAUUUCUCUAUAUACAGAUGAUCUGAUGGUGCAUUUCGUUAUCCAUGUAAAGAUUAUGAUAAGAAAAAAAUAUGGCUUAUAGUUGUUUGAGCAUUUUUAGGUAGAUAAACUCAUCAUAAAUACCAGGCUUAACAUUGUGUACGCGGGCGUACGAUUAGAAGACAAAAGACACCUCAGUUUAGCUAAAACAAACAAGGAAAGAAAUUCAGGCCCAAGACCGACGGAAGAUUCAUCAACAAACAGCAACGAUACAAUUACAAGAAUAUUGUGGUGAAGUGAUUAACGCAUCGGACUACCAUCACAAAGGUUCUGAAUCAUGUUAAUCCGAUCCCCGUUUCGGGUAGACAAUUUUUGGGAUUUAAUUUUCGGCUUUUCAUUAAUACCAUUUGCAAAUAUGGUCUUCAGAAAUGAUGAAAAAUUGUCGGAAGUUGAUGAUAAAUGACUUACUCAUGUUAGGAGAGAGCAAUGUAUCACAGAAAAGUCAACCUUGUAGAUUUCACAUAAGAGUAUGUUAAUGCUGCAACACGGCAGCAUUUGCAUCCGCAACGGUGACAGGGUUUAAUAGAAGUUGUUAUAUCUGUUUUCCCAAUACACUAUACAUAAAUAUGUUUAAAC